AGGGUAAUAGCUCAGUGGUAGAGUGCAUGCUUAGCAUGCAAGAAGUCUUAGGUUCAAUCCCUAUUACCUCC
RNAcentral lists this transfer RNA (71 nucleotides) under Camelus bactrianus (Bactrian camel). It matches the Rfam family "tRNA". From Rfam's summary of the family: Transfer RNA (tRNA) molecules are approximately 80 nucleotides in length. Their secondary structure includes four short double-helical elements and three loops (D, anti-codon, and T loops). Further hydrogen bonds mediate the characteristic L-shaped molecular structure. tRNAs have two regions of fundamental functional importance: the anti-codon, which is responsible for specific mRNA codon recognition, and the 3' end, to which the tRNAs corresponding amino acid is attached (by aminoacyl-tRNA synthetases). tRNAs cope with the degeneracy of the genetic code in two manners: having more than one tRNA (with a specific anti-codon) for a particular amino acid; and 'wobble' base-pairing, i.e. permitting non-standard base-pairing at the 3rd anti-codon position. Lineage: Eukaryota; Metazoa; Chordata; Mammalia; Artiodactyla; Camelidae. RNAcentral also lists the same sequence under 2 other names. The record is from Rfam by way of RNAcentral.